UCCUACGGGAGGCAGCAGUGGGGAAUAUUGCACAAUGGGGGGAACCCUGAUGCAGCAACGCCGCGUGAGUGAUGACGGUCUUCGGAUUGUAAAGCUCUGUCUUUGGGGACGAUAAUGACGGUACCCAAGGAGGAAGCCACGGCUAACUACGUGCCAGCAGCCGCGGUAAUACGUAGGUGGCGAGCGUUGUCCGGAUUUACUGGGCGUAAAGGGAGCGUAGGCGGAUUCUUAAGUGGGAUGUGAAAUACCCGGGCUCAACUUGGGUGCUGCAUUCCAAACUGGAUAUCUAGAGUGCAGGAGAGGAAAGCGGAAUUCCUAGUGUAGCGGUGAAAUGCGUAGAGAUUAGGAAGAACACCAGUGGCGAAGGCGGCUUUCUGGACUGUAACUGACGCUGAGGCAUGAAAGCGUGGGGAGCAAACAGGAUUAGAUACCCUGGUAGUCC
This 442-nucleotide ribosomal RNA is filed under the name uncultured bacterium. Its description in RNAcentral is "bacterial SSU rRNA". It matches the Rfam family "Bacterial small subunit ribosomal RNA", at positions 337 to 796 of the family's 1533-position model. The record is from RNAcentral.